Molecule: unclassified non-coding RNA, 317 nt
Organism: Mesocricetus auratus (golden hamster)
Lineage: Eukaryota; Metazoa; Chordata; Mammalia; Rodentia; Cricetidae
Gene: 7SK
Rfam family: 7SK RNA
About the family: 7SK was discovered as an abundant small nuclear RNA in the mid-70s but a possible function has only recently been suggested. Two independent studies have found that 7SK RNA binds the CDK9/cyclin T complex (known as elongation factor P-TEFb).
Source: Ensembl
UGAUGGGGCUGUGAUAAUAUCUGUUCUAUCCUUCUUCACCCCCUCCCCAUUGAUCACCAGCAUCGAUUUGGAUGAUCUGACUGGAGAGGAAGAUAGCUCUAUUGUCCCCCACCACUCGGUGUGUGUCUCUCCUGAAAGCAUGGUACUUGGCUAAAGGAUACAGCCUGCCAUGAUAGAAGGAUAGCUGGGACUCACUAGUAGCUGUGCUCCUCUGGUGAGCCUGCAAACACUCGCCCAGCGAUAAUGGGCUUUUCUUUCCAGUGCCAAAGGCACGUGAUGCUUUCCAUGUAGAUCACGUUCAGAAGCUACGUGGUUCU